GGGUGUUCUUUCUUUUAUCUUUGAUAUUGUACAGAUAAAAGGGUUGUUGGGAUUCUUACAGUAACGGAAAUCAUUGGCUGAAUGUUGAGAGAGGCAACCACCCUAUCAAUGAAAAAUCCUCAAGUCUCUGUAGCCUCAUUCAUUCCCUUCUGAACUUUUUGCUUUGUUUCUCAACUCAAACAUUUUCCUUCAUACGGAACACACCCUAAAUAUAACAAAAAAAAGCCAAGCUGAAUAGAGAAAAAUCGAGGCUCAGAUUUGUGUUAAGCUCCGGAAACAAGAGAGUCCAACAACGCCAUGGCUGCAAAAACCACCAGAAAAUCUGGGAGCAUGCCCCGCCAAGAUACAAUUUGGAUAACCUCAAAUGCCCAAUUAAUCAGAGCUCAGAAAGGAAUAAACAUCGGCAAAAAUCAUCAUUGCCUUUUUUAAGCCAUCCGAUUAUACUCAGCACCAUCGCUUCCACCAGCAACAAUCAAUGCUCCGGCAGAAGCAUUAGAGAAAAGAGAAUGCACUGUAUGGUCACAGCAAGGAAGUAUAGGUUAGAUUGAUAAGGUAUAUAUAUGUGUGUGUGUGUGUGUGUGUGUGUGUGUGUGUGUGUGUGUGUGUGUGUCUAAUUAGGUAGUUUUUCCUAAAAUUUAUAAAAGGGUUGUUGGGGUUCUUACAUCAAGGGAGAAAUAAUUGGCUGAUGCAGAGAGCGGCAACCACCCUUACAAUGAAAAAUCCUCAACUCUCUGUAGCCUCAUUCUUUCCCUACUGAGAUUUUUGACAUUUGUUUCUCAACUCUUGAAAACAUUUUCUUUCAUAUCAAACACACCCUUGAUAUUAAACAAAAAAAAAAAAACCCAAAGCUGAAUAGAGAAAAAUUGAGACUCAGAUCUGUGUUAAGCUUGGGCAAAAGGAGAGUCCAACCACGCCAUGGCUGCAAAAACCACAAGAAAAACUGGUGGCCCACCAAGAUACGAGUCUGAUAACCUCAAAUGCCCGAUUAAUCAGCUCAGCUUGGGCAAAAGGAGAGUCCAACCAUGCCAUGGCUGCAAAAACCACCAGAAAAGUUGGUGGCAUGCCCCGCCAAGAUACGGGUCUGAUAAUCUCAAAUGCCCGACUAAUCAGCUCAUAAGGGAACAAAAAUUGGCAAAAAUCAUCAUCACCUCUUUCAAGCCGUCCGAUUAUACUCACCAACAUCGCUUCCACCGGCAACAUUCAAUGCUCCGGCGGAAGCAUUAAAAAGGAGUUGAAAAAAAGAGUUGAAGGGCAUAGAAACCCUUAAAACAAUAUGUAACAACAAUCCAAACAAGCUGUUAUUUAUGUACUCCCUCCGUUUAAAACAGAUAAAAGGGUUGUUGGGAUCCUUACAGUAAUGGAGAUAUCAUUGGCUGAAUGUUGAGAGAGGCAACCACCCUUUCAAUGAAAAAUCUUCAACUCUCUGUGGCCUCACUCUCCCUUCUGAGCUUUUUGCUUUUUGUUUCUCACCUCUCGAAAACAUUUUCCUUCAUACCAAACACACCCUUAACAUUAAGCAAAAAAGAGCCCAAGCGGAAUAGAGAAAAAUUGAGACUCAGAUCUGUGUUAAGCUUGGGCAACAAGAGAGUCCAACCACGCCAUGGCUGCAAAAACCACCAGAAAAUCUGGGAGCAUACCCCGCCAAGAUACGGGUCAGAUAACAUCAAAAUGCCCAAUUAAUCAGCACAGAAGGGAAUAAAAAUUGGCAAAAAUCAUCAUCGCCUCUUUCAAGCCGUCCGAUUAUACUCAGCACCAUUGCUUCCACCAGCUCCACCGGCAACAAUCAAUGCUCCGGCAGAAGCAUUAAAAAAAAGAAAAAAAAAAGUUCAAAGGCAUAGAAACCCAUUUCAAACAAAAGCUGUUAAUUAUAUACUUCCUCUGUUUAAAAUCGAUAAAAAGGCUGUUGGGAUUGUUACAGUAAUGGGGAAAUCACUGGCUGAAAGCAGAGAGAGGCAGCCACCCUUCCAAUGAAAAAUCCUCAAACUCACUGUUAGCCUCAUUCUUUUCCUUCUAAGCUUUUGUUUAUAGUACCCUGAAGCUGUUAACAAUACUCCCUCAGUUAAAAUUAACAAAGAGACCGCUAAAUUGAGGCUCAGAUCUGUGUUAAGAUCGAGCAAAAAGAGAGUCAACCACGCCAUGGCUGCAUAAACCAGCAUGCCCCACCAAGAUACGGGUUGGAUAACCUUAAAUGCUCAAUUAAUCAGCUUAGAAGGGAAUAAAAUUGACAAAGAUCAUCAUCGCCUCUUUCAAACCAUCCGAUUAUACUCACCACCAUAGCUUCCACCGGCAACAUUCAAUGCUCCGGCAGAAGCAUUAAAAAGGAGUUGAAAAGAAGAGCUGAAGGGCAUAAAAACCUCUGAAACAAUAUGUAACAACAAUCCAAACAAGCUGUUAUUUAUAUACUCCCUCCGUUUAAAAUUGAUAAAAGGGUUGUUGGGAUCCUUACAGUAAUGGAGAAAUCAUUGGCUGAAUGCUGAGAGAGGCAACCACCCUUUCAAUGAAAAAUCCUCAACUCUUUGUAGCCUCAUUCAUUCCCUUCUGAGCUUUUUGUUUUUUGUAUCUCAACUCUCGAUAACAUUUUUCCUUCAUACCAAACAUACCCUAAAUAUAACAAAAAAAGCCAAGCUGAACAGAGAAAAAUUUGAGGCUCAGAUUUGUGUUAAGCUCAGGCAAUAAGAGAUUCCAACCACGCCAUGGCUGCAUAAGCCACCAGAAAAUCUGGGAGCAUGCCCCGCCAAUAUACGGGUUGGAUAACCUCAAAUGCCCGAUUAAUCAGCUCAGAAGGGAAUAAACAUUGGCAAAAAUCAUCAUUGCCUCUUUCAAGCUGUCCAAUUAUUCUCAGCUCCAGUGGCAACAAUCAAUGAUCCGGCGGAAGCAUUAAAAAGGAGUUGAAAAAAAGAGUUGGAAGGGCAUAUAGAAACCCAUUUCAAACAAAAGUUGAUAAUCAUAUACUUUCUCUGUUUAAAAUUGAUAAGAGGGUUGUUGGGAUUCUUACAAUAAUGGAGAAAUCAUUGACUGACUGCAGAGAGAGGCAACCACCCUUUCAACGAAAAUCCUCAAACUCCCUGUUAGCCUCAUUCUUAUAGUACCCUGAAGCUGGUAAUACUACUCCCUCAGUUUUAAAUUGACGAAGAGACCAGUGCAUUGAGGCUCAGAUCUGUGUUAAACUAGAGUAUAAAGAGAGUCCAACCACGCCAUGGCUGCAAAAACCAGCAUGCUCCGCCAAGAUACGGGUCGGAUAACCUCCAAUGCUCAAUUAAUCAGCUCAGAAGGGAAUAAAGUUACAAGAAUCAUCAUCGCCUCUUCCAAGCCAUCCGAAGCAAUAAAAGCAACUGUUAGCAAAAUUAUAGGAAAUAUAAUUGAAGAAGAAGAUGGCUUUAAGGCAUGAAGAAUCGCUUUCCUUAAAGAGAUAUUGCCCGUAUACAUAUUGGGAAAAAUACAAGCAAUUGCCUUCAAGAUACAACAAAGUCGUUGUAUAUACAUGCAUAUUUUUCUUUUUGGGUUACUUCCAGAGAGUCCUUAUAUUUAUAAAACUUAAGAGAUCGACUUUUCAUAAUAGUCAUGUUCUUUCAUGUGUUCAAUUUAAGACCUCUAUAUAUUACAAAUUAUCCAACAACAACAUACCCAGUAUAGUCCCACAUGGUGGGGUUUGAGAGAGUAGAGUAUAUGCAUAUCUUAGCCCUACUUUAGAGGUAGAGAGGUGGUUUCCACUAGACUCUCGGCUUAAGAAAAACAGUCCAAAGCAGUCCAGAAAGAGCAACAAAACAUAUUGAACAGUAACUACAAAAAUAUAUGAUAGUCGAAGUACAAGAAACUUCCAAUAGUAACAAAAUGAAAACACAAGAAACUAUAUGAGUAAUAUUAUGACCACUAGUAUGGGAAGAUCGCAAGACAAUGCACUACUAGUCUACUACCUACGAACCUCCUUCCCUAAUCCAUGUCCUCCACAAUAUGUAACAACAUUCCAAACGAGAUGAUACGUUUGUCCAUGAAAUUUUUUCAAUUAUUUCUGGAGUUGAACUCCGAAAAACAAGUUUGGCCAUAAAAUUUGGAAUUCAACCAUAGGAUUUGAAAAACAAAAAAAAGAUAUUUUUACUUUUUUCACUCCAAAUUACUCACAAAAAGUAAAAAACGACUCCAAUUUGUAUUCAUAGAAAAAUACAACUCUAAUUUUCAAAUAUAAUUUUUCAUUUUGAAAACAAACACUACAUUAUUUUCAAAUUUCACAAUGAAAUAUGACCAAACACAAACUAACAUACUUCCUCCAUUUUAAAUUGAUAAAAGGGUUGCUAGGUUUCUUACAGUAUGGAGAAUGCAUUGGCUGAAUGCAGAGAGAGUCAACCACCCUUUCAACAAAAAAAAUCCUCAAAAGACCUGUUAGCCUCAUUUUUUAUUUAUGAACUUUUGCUUAUAGUACCCCUGAAGCUGUUAAUAAUACUCCCUCAAUUGAAAUGGACGAAGAGACCAGUAAAUUGAGGCUCAGAUCUGUGUCAAGCUCGAGCAAAAAGAAGGUCCAACCACGCCAUGGCUGCAAAAAACAGUAUGCCCCGCCAAGAUACAGAUCGGAUAACCUCAAAUGCUCAAUUAAUCAGCUCAAAAGGGAAUAAAAAGUGACAAAAAUCAUCAUCGCCUCUAUAAAGACACCAAUUAUACUCACCCCCACCAGCAACACUGAAUGCUCAGGCAGAAGUAUAAAGAAAAAAUAAAGAGAAAAAGAGUUGAAAGGUCAUAGAAACCCAUUUCAAACAAAGCUGAUAAUUAUAUAUUCCCUCUGUUCAAAAUUGAUAAAAGGGUUGUUGGAAUUCUUACAUUAAUGGAGAAAUCAUCGGCUGAUGUAGAGAGUGGCAACCACCAUUCCAAUGAGAAAUCCUUAAACUCUCUUUAAGCCUCAUUCUUUCCCUUUUGAGCUUUUUGCUUUGUCCAUUUCCCUUAGGUUUUGCUUAUAUAGUCCCCUCAACACUUGAACUAUAAUACUCCCAUCUUUUUACCAGUUCAUUAAUUUUUCUUGUUGAAAGUAUUAAAAAAACAAUUUCUUUAGAACAAAGAUUUACAUUUACAAUUUUUAGAUUUUUUUAAAAUAUAGUUUCCAAAUUUUCUUGGUCGAGAUAGUUUGAAUAUGUAAAAAUGAGAUGUACUAGUGUUCCAAUGCAAAGGUACAAGGAUAUUGUGGAUAGGUGAUAAGACAUGAUGCACUAACUUCACAAAGAUAUGACCUUGGAUAUAGUAGUUAUGAACUGUAUCACUUUAUUCUUUCAUAUGAGGUGGAAAUCAAAAUUACACCGACAAAAGAUAAUCCAUCAACUGAGCUACCAAAAUUUUCCAUGAAGUUUCUUGUUGUUCCAUCCCUUUCAGUAUUAUUUAAUAUUUCUUGCACAUCAAUCAUUGUAUAAUUUUGAUAGUGAUUGUUCCUUUUUUAGUUUGUCAUAUUACUCCCUCCGUCCCUAUUUACUUGUCCAUAUUUCCUUUUUUGGUUGUCCCUAUUUAGUUGUCCAUUUUGACAAAUCAAGAAAGGACAACAAAUUUUUUCCUAUUAUACCCUUAUUUACACUUCUUGAAAAUUGUAAAAGUGUAUGUUGUUUCCCUCCAAUUUAUUUCACUUGAAUUCAAAUAAGUGGUUGUAAAUUUUGAAAGUGAAAAGUUGUCAUAAGGGUAAAAUUGUAACUUCACUGUGCUAAUCAUUGUUGCCUUAAUCUGUGUGCCAUUUCUAAAGUGGACAACUAAAAAGGGACGGAGGGAGUAUCUUUUAACAUUUUACCUUAAUUUCUUCACUUACAUUCUCUUUUUUUCGAAUUAUAUCAAGAACUUCUCUAGCUCCAGGUAUUACCCUUGCAUACACAAUUACUUUUCUACCAAUUUUUCCAACUGAACAUAUGGUCUCACUUGGCUCUAGAAGUUGUGAACAUUAUCAGCAAUAUUCAGAAAAACAGUAGACAAAUUUCACUUUUGUUUUUUAAUAACCAUAAAAUCCCCAUAAAUGGAUCACGGUUUGAAACUUUACGUUGCACCAGUCAUCUCUGUCUUUCUCUGCUUAAAUACCAAGCUUAACAAUUCAAAUCUGUGGCAUGCAUCUAACACACCAACUGUUGCACUCUUAUCCCUAAACCAAAGGGAUAAUUCAAACUCACGACAUGCACCUCUAUAACACAGCAAUUGUUGCACUCUCACCGCUGGACCAAAGCCCCUAAGCCAUGGGAUGUAUUCAUAAAAAUAGUAGAGGUUUUUGAUUGAACACAUUUGAAACAACAACAAAGAGGAACUUUUGAAAUAUAUAAUCGUCCAAUCAAGAGUGAUAGACAAUGUAGUCAAGCAAGAAUCAGCUGGUUAGAACCAUAUAUUAGCUCAUCAACUAGAAUCGUUCCAAUCUUGUCCAAGUAUGAUAUCGGCAACAGGGAAAAAGAGGGGAUCAACAAAUACAGAACCCCUCGGCAAAGUUGCCUUGUUUUGCAAUUCUUUUUUGCAUAUAACAAACAAUUAUCUAUUUUCAUACUUCAAUAAUGUUAGACCCUUUCAAUUAGAAUACAUAGCAGCAGCAAGAAGCUGAUUAAGUACAUAAAAUAGACCUAGUAUAACAAUAUUUUUAGACAAGUAGUAGUGAUAACAGAGCUAAAUAGAGGCCUCAUCUAUCAGAGUAACUAUGACAAAAAGCAUCAUUUGGAUGUUGAUCCAUGGCUUACUUGAAUUACUCAUCAUUUAGGAUGAAUUGCUUCAUGCACCAAGUAAACAAAUUGAUUGAAGGAGAUCAAUAUGAAUUAUCAAGUAUGGCUUCUUGCAUGAAUUAUCAAGUAUGGCUUCUUCAAUCAAUUAUCAAGUAAACAAAUUGAUUGAAGGAGAUCAAUAAGAAGUAUGGCUUCUUGUAAAGAUCAUUAUCAAUGGAAGAGAACCCCUAAAAGAUAAUACAUAGCAAAAACAAGAAACUGACAAAAUGAAGCAUAAAAAUCACCUAGUGAAACUUCUUUAGAUAAGUAAUUGUGACAACAUAGUGCUAAUAGAGGCCUCAUCUAUCAGAGUAACUAUGACAAAAAAGCUUCAUUUGGAUGCUAAUCCAUGGCUUACUUGAAUUUCAUUUAGGAUGAAAUAUUUCAUGCAUAUAGUAAACAAAUUGAAUAUAAGGAGAGCAGUAAGAAGUAUAAACACUCCUAAGAUAAUACAUAACAUAAAACAAGAAGUAUGACAUCUUGUACCGAUAAUACAUAGCAGGAAAGAGAACCUGACAAAAUGAAGCAUAAAAUCAACUAGUGAAACUUCUUCUAAAGUAGUCUUGACAAUAGAGGUCAUCUAUCAGAGUAACUAUGACAAAAACUUCAUUUGGAUGUUAAUCCAUGGCUUACUUAAAUUACUCAUCAUCUAGGAUUUGAAUUCCUUCAUGCACAGAACAAAGACUAGAAGUAUUGAUUUAUUGUUUAGUUAAUGAGGUCAAUCACUAGUGUGCCCAAAAAAAACCUAGAUAGGACGGAAAAAACCUCAAAAAUUAGUGGUAUCCACAAAACAAGCAAUAACUGCAAAAUUUGCAUAAACUAUAAAAUGAUCUUACUCCCAAUAUGAUUUAUAAAUACACUGUCUUGCUCACAAAAGAUUUAUGAUUUGGCUUGUAUUCUAACACUAACUGUGGUGCUCCUGCAUAAAUUGAUGCAGUUGUAUUACAUCAUGUUAAAAAAUGAACAAUCAAAUUACAGUUUAAACUACAACAGGUCAGGUUGACGAAAUUAUGAACUUUCACCUAUAAGAAAACUAAGCAUAUCCGCAACAAAGUAACUCAAAAAUAUAUGUUAGUACUCAAAUGCCUAGAUUUCUAGACAAAGGAAUACAUAUCUGGGCACAGGCUUUGUAAUUACUAUACAGAGUUCAAAAACAAGGGAUGACAUUAAGGCACACUUAUCUCAGAGAAAGUGCUUCCCUAUUCAUUAUAAUUGAAAAAUAGGGUAGUUUUAAAUAUAAAAAAGGAACAUAUUUAUCAAAACAAAGAAACUCAAAAAUAGACGUUGACAUUCAUAGAGUUCUAGUCAAAAGAAAACAUUUUUAGGCACACUCGUAUGGAAAAAGCACCUCUAGGAACUCGGUAAGCUUAUACUGGGCAUGCUGUUUUUGUUGUUGGAAUAGGCUAUUCGCCUUCUCUCAGGAAAAAACCAAACUUAAAAAAAACAUUAUGGCUACAAGCAUCAGUUAGCCAACUUAUGAGACAGAAAAGGAAGACCAAAAAUGGAGCUUUCUCCUCCACUUCUCACGGACCCAUCUGCACACCAAGAUAGAGUCUUUUCUAGCUCAAUGAGAAUAUAUGUCUGUUUCAUCUUCCAAAGAAGACAAAAAACUUCAAUUCUUCAUUGAAGAUUAUUUGAAACGUAGGAAAUAGCAAACAAAAGAAACAGAGGGAGUAACAAACAAAAGGGUGUUUUUUGUAAUCAUUUGAGUGAUUAUGGGCAGCGGAGAAUGACAGAGAGCGGCAAAACCACCCAUUGGAACUCCCUAAAGCUCUCUGCUUUCACACAGCCUCAGACUUAAACUAAUAAGAUUAGGCUCAGAUUCGCCUUUUCUCAGACAACCAAAAAGCUUUAAAAAAAAAACCGUCAUUGCUGCAAUCAUCAGUUAGCCUUAUGAGACAGAAAAGAAUACUUUCUCCUCCACUUCUCACAGACCCAUCUGAGCUGCCACGCCAAGAUACAGUUUUUUUCCAGCUCAAUGGAAAAUGUGUCUGAUUCAUCUUCCGAAGAAGACAAAUUCUUUCAAAUCUUCAUAGCCUGAUAAAUUGGGACUGAGAGAGUAACAGCAAUUAGGAACAGAGGAAAGUCUAGUGAAAUUUCACCAAAAGGGUGGUUUUGUGCAAUAAUUUUGAGUGAUCAUCGGUGGCGGAGAAUAACAAGAGAGUGGCAAAACCACCCAUUGAAACUCCCUAAAGCUCUCACCGCCGCCUCAUACUUAAACUAAUGAGAUUUGUGCUAUUUUCAUGUUAAUGCUGCUCUUCUUAUACUGUGCCCUAAUUAAUUGGGCCUUACUUGAAAAGCCCAUCUCGUCGGGUCGAAUUCAAUUGCGCAUAAAUGGGGGAAGAAGAUUAGGGGUUGUAGCCGCUGAUUAUACUCACCAGCAACGACAACACUGAAUUUUCCGGCGGAAACAUAAAAAGAAAAGAUCAUAUUUGUGCAAAUUUCUGUAUGAAAAAAGAACAGUUCCAAAAUAGGAGCAUUGAUGCAAAAUUUCCAGAAGAAAGGGUUGUUUGGAAUUGUUAUUGGAAAAUCAUAGGAUAAUAAUACAGAGAGAAGCAAUCAGCAAACCACCCUUCAAUGAAAGAGCUUCUCUUGCUUUCUUCAAUUCUCAAAAAGAGCUGGUUUUCGAUUGAUCCUCCAUUCAAGUCAAUACGAUAAAAUAUAGGAAAGAAAAGAUAUUUUUGACAAGAUAUACUCAUGAUUUGUCAAACAUUACAUUGUACUGUAUUAUUAUUUUGAUGAAUACAAUAUUAAAAUUAGAAUGCAAUGCACCAACAAUACAAAGAAUAAACUUAUAAUCCUCAAAAAAGAUAACAGGUAGAGUAAUUACAACAAAUGGUAGGUAAAGGGGAUAUUACACGUCAAAGCUCAAGAAAGUACGCUUGUAGGUUAUUGACCUGAGCCCAAAGUAGCUGUUACAAGUCAAAAACUAUGAACUUGGAAAACAAUAAAAAAAAAAAAAAAUCUGCUCUUAAGUCCGAGAUACUGUCGACCUGAGCCCAAAGUAGGAAAAUAACAGACUAGAGCAACGAGUUCAUUAGCCAUACAUAGUUAAGGAGGAGACAUUCCUCAUGCUGCGGUUCGAAAAGGUUUCCCCAAGCAGGUCACUGGGAGCUAAGACAGGUCAAUGCUAGACUGCUUGUCCAACUCAAGACAGAUAAGGGCAGACAGCAAAAUGCGGCAUCCAUUGGCAGAAGAGAUGUGAAAAAUCACUGUAAUUCAGAACAAAACUAAAAACAUAUGAGCAAUAUUUAUAACCAGACAGAAUAUGUAAAUGAGAAAUAGCAAUUCUUUUUGCCAUCUUGAAAAAAAGGGAAAAAUACGAUAGAAGGAAAUUGGGAAUUACUAGUACUUAAUAUAAGUCUCAGAUCAUCAGUUUAUCACAAAUGCCAUGGCUGCAACCUAGAGCAGGUUUCCCUGCCAAGUUACUGAGUCUUAUCAUCUCAAUGCAAACAAAUAUUGCUAUUUGUCAAAAACCAUAUCAUCACAGCCUCGGUUUUUCACUUUUCUUAUUGGAGCGUGAUUCUCGCUGUUUAUGUGUUAAUGCAGCCACAAAGUGGCAAGGCGAGAACCAAUAGCAGCAACAAAUCAACAAUAAUGUGCAUCUUCUGAAUCUAGAGUUGCAAGAAAGAGCUAGCACUGUUAGUUUGCCAGCAAGAUUUCACAUUUCUCAUUGAUGAUGUCUCAUUUCUGAGCAGGCUUUCAAAAGAAAGAUUUUUCCGUCAAACAAUGUCCAGAAGGACUACUUGCAAUUUUGAGGUUCAGAGUUGGUUACUAAUGGGGCAAAGAGAAGGAGAUUGUGCCAUGACAUCAAAAGAACCAGUUGCAUGUGAUAGAUAAGUCUCAAAUCACAUACCAUCAGAGGUUUACCAAGCAUAGAUACAAAUCUACUCGUCUCUAAAACCCAAACAACCUUUUUUUUUUCUAGCCCAGACAAGCAAAUACAAUCACUGCCUCUUUGAGAAAAUGAUAGCAUAUGUUUCAAGGAAUUUAGGGAGCUGCUUUGGACUGAGCUCAUAAAUCAGAAUGAGGUCAAGUACUGCUGGUGCAGUUAAUGCGCUGUUUUAUUUGGUAAUGAAGAAAUGAUGCAAAGGCUUCUGAAACUGGAGGAUCAGAUUAUAUGGUGGCAUUGGGUUCUUUGCACCAGCCAUGGCUGGAAAUCGCAAAAUUUCAGGUUGUCCCGCCAGGACACCAGUCAAAACACUCCAAUGUCCAAUACAAUGAGCUCGGCAAACAUUAUCAUCAUAGCCUCAUUGGUUACCCUUUCCGACUUUAUGAGCGCCCAACCUUUGUUUGCAUUGCAUUGAAACACAUCCAGUGAGGACAAAACUAAGACAACCAAAAUAUUAUAGACAAUACUCGUUAAAAAGGUAAGAGUUUUCUCUUUGUUUAAAAUAAUUUUUUUUUUUGGGGGGGCGGGGGCGGGGGUUGAUUAUGAGAAAUUCGAACAACCAAAAGAGAAACUUUUGAAAUAUAAGCUAAACAUAUGCAAAAGGACUAAAAUUGUCCAAACAAAGGAGAGAUAGAGUAUGUAGCCAAGCUAGAAUCAGCUGGUGAGAACCACAUAGUAGUUUUGGGAGGACACCAAGCCAAUAGGCCCUUUCAACAAGAAAACCAUGCUUAUAGGCAAAAUUUUGGGAGGAAAAAUGCUUCAGUAAAUCCAAGAAUCAGCAACAAGCAAGUUUAGCAAAACAUCUAGGAAAAUACAUAGCAGCAGCAAGAAGCUGAUUAAAUAAAGCAUAAAAUACACAUAGUAAAACAAUUUUUUCAGACAAGUAGUGGUGAUAACAUAGAGCCAAUAGAAGUCUCAUCAAUCAGAGUAACAAUGAAAAAAAGCUUCAUUUGAAUGUUAAUUCAUGGUUUACUUGAAUUACUUAUCAUUUAGGAUGAAUUCCUUCAUGCUGAAGGAGAACAGUAAGAACUAUUGAAGACUCCAAAGAUAUUACAUAUCAUAAACGAGAAGAAUGAGGCUCAGAUCUCUCUAUAAUCAGGUACUUACAUUUCUCAGAAAUGCUAUGGCUGCAACCUAGAGCAGGUUGUCCUGCCAAGUUACUGAGUCUUGUAUCAUAUCAACAAUGCAAACCAAUAUUGCUAUUUGUCAAAAACCAUAUCAUUACUGCCUCAAUUUUUCACAUUUUCUUUAUUUUGAGCAUGAUUAUCACUGUUUAUGUGUUAAUGCAGCCACACAGCAGCAAGGCAAGAACCAAUAGCAGUAAAAGAUAAUUAAUUAUGUGCAUCUUCUCAAGCUAGAGUUACAAGAAAGAGCUAGCCACUGUUACUUUCUUCCAGCAAGAUUUCACAUCUUGGCCUUACCAGCAAAACGGAAUGAAAAAAUAAAUUAUUCACAUUUCUCAUUUAUGGGCUAGCUGUCUAAGAAACGAUUUUUCCAUCAAACAAUGUCCAGAAGGACUACUUGCAAUUUUGACACUCUCAGCUGGCUACUAAUGAAUGGGUCAAAGAGAGAAGCAGACUACGCCAUGGCUGCAAAAGAACCAGUUGCAUGUGAUAGAGGAGUCUCAAAUCACACAUCAUCAUGGGGUUUUGCCAAGCCAAGAUACAGAUCUACUCAUCUAUAAACCCGAACAACCUUUUUUUAAGCCAAGAUAACCAAAUAUUAUCUGCCUCAUUGAUAACUGGUAGCAUAGGAUUCGAGGAAUUUGAAGCGCUUUGGACCUGAGCUCAUAAAUUAGAACGAGGUCCAACUACUACUACUGCUGCUGAUGUCAAUGCUCUCUUUUUUUUCUAAAGUGAAAGAAAGGAAAAGGACUAGAAGAGGGCAGUUGGUUUUGGUAAUGGAGAAAUGAUGCAAGAGGCUCAGAUUAUGUCAUGGGGCUUUGAGUUCUUUGUGCCCAGCCAUAGCUGCAAAUUUCCAGAAAUUCAGAUUGCCCCGCCAAGACACCAGCUACAGAACUCUAAUGCCCGACUCAAUGAGCUCAGCAAAACUAUCAUCAUAGCCUCAUUGUUUCCUCUUGCUGACAUUAUGAACGUGUAACUCUGUUUGCAUUGCAUUGAAACACAGCCAGUGAGGACGAAACUAGGACAACCGAAACAUAUGCACAAUGCAUUAUAGACACAAGAAAUAUGCAUAGGCAUAAACAGCAGUCUAGUUUAAAUUUAAAGCAAAAAUAAGUCACCAGAAUGUCGGAGAUGGUCAUCCACACGGAGAAGUUCAACACAGAGAAAUCACCAGAACGUCCGAGAUGGUCAUCCACACAGAGAAUCAUGUGAUUCUCUCACAGUUUUUUUUAUUUUUAUUUUUAUUUUCUUGUAUAUUUCGAAGGGCUGUUGGUCCUUUUGGUUAUCAAUGGAGAAAUCAUGGGCAGAGUAGAGAGGGACAACCACCCUUUACAGAAAAUCCCAAUCUCUUUGAUGCCUCAUUCUUCUUUCUUUCUAGGUUAUGCUCAGCUGAUACCGAACAAAUAAGAUUAUACAUUAUGACAGCAAGAUGAUUUAUAGCUUGUAGUAGAAAAUCGCAGGUUCAACAUAUCUCAAAAUUGAACCAUGGAAAGAUUCUUUCUCUCUCUUUCUUUUCAAGCAAAUGGGGCUCAGAUGUAUGUUAUGAUAAGGCAAAACAGAAACAAACACCGUUUGCAUGCAAGAGACAGAAGCAGCAAUCACAAGCCAUACCGGGUCACCACACCAAGAUACGGAUUGGAUAAUCUCAAUGCCCAAAUUAGUUAGCCCAGAAAUAGAAACAUCAUCAUCACUGUUUCUUUAUGUACAUUUCAUCAACAGUCAACACCGUAAAACACACACACAGAAAGACAGAGAUCUCAGAGUAUACAUGUUAAAUCCAUUUUGGUUUUUCCAGUUUUUGCUUUUUCUUAAACAAGGGCUGUUGGUUGUUUUAUAAUGGAGAAAAAUCAGUGGCGCAACAGAGAGGGUAAACCACCCUUUACAGAAAAUCCCACUCUCUGUUUUGCCUCAUUUCAGGGCUAACCUUUUCGCAUUUGGGGUAAAUUCUUUGGCUUGACAGCUAAAUCAUCGGCAUAUCUGAGAAGGUCAAACAGCCCAGAAAUCCCCCAAAAUAAGCGGGAACUCACCACCCUCUCUACCUUCACAAGGUAGGGGUAAAGUUGCGUACACACCACCCUCCUUAGACCCCAAUUAUGGGAUUACACUGGGUAUGUUGUUGAUGUGGGUUCCAGCUAAUUUCUUUUUUUUUUCCCACUACUUGCAUCAAAUUAUUUUACAAAGUCUAAAAGUUAACUUUUGAAAAACUUCAAGGACCAAAAUUGUUAAGUGCAUAUUUAAGGGACUAUUUUGGACAUACCCUCAAACAUAAGAGAUUUGUCAUUUUCUCCCUCAUUCUGAAUUCAGAGCUGAAAUUUCAACACAAAACCGCAAUAGGUUUUCCAACCCGGGAAUAGACUCACCAUGGAAGAUCAUUAAAUGGGUUAUUGAAGGCUCAGAUUUGUUGUAUUUCUUAACAAAGAAAAGAGAAGAACGCCGCAGCCAUGGAUGCAGACACCAGUUUGCUAUUCAAAGCCGUAACCGGGUCGCCCAGCUAAGAUACAGGUUUUUCUCAAUGCUAUAAUUGAACAUAGCCCAGAAAGGAAAGUAAGCAAUCAUCAUAGCCCCCUUUACAACAUCAGCAACAGCAACAUAAAGAGACAGAGGAAGAACAAGAAGAGUAUAGAGGUGUGUUUGGAUGACAUUUCUUCAUUUUUUCCCUUUUGUUUAUUUAAAAAGGGCUGUUAAUUUUUGUGGUUAUCAAUGGAAAAAUCACUGGCAAAGCAGAGACGGGCAACCACCCUUUUACAGAAAAUCCCAAUUUCUCUGAUGCCUCAUUCUUCAAAGCUGAAAUUUCAUUUGAGGGCUCAGAUUUGCUAUAUUUGAACAAAGCAAAAGAGAAAAGCGAUGCCGCCAGGGAUGCAGACACCAGUUUGCUAUUCAAAGCUGUAACUGGGUCACCCUGCCAAGAUACAGGAUUUUCUCAAUGCUAUAAUUGAACAUAGCCCAGAAAGGAAAGCAAGCUAUCAUCACAGCCCCUUUACAACAUCAGUAGCAGCAGCAGCACAAAGAGACAGAGGAAGAGCAAGAAGAGUAUAGGGGUGUGUUUGGAGGAAGUAUGUGGAGGAAGCUGAAUUUGGGUGUGUGAGAAAGGACGCAACAGUGUCAUCACUCCUAUAGCUGUGUAUUGCACAGUGCAAACCAUCCCUGUGUUGAAAGACACUCGCCCUUUAGCUUCUGGGAGAAAGACCGCUUGAAGUUUUCUCCUUGGAAACAGAGUAAAAUUCUCAUAAUCGUCAUCUUUAUCAGCAGACAGCAUAAGCAAAGGAACUUGGGGAGAUGAGGCAUCAAAACUUUCUUUAGUAACAGCACUUUGCCAUGAUUUAUACAAAUAGCACCAAAUACAACGAAAUCCUCCGUAACUGUUAAAACCUUUACUAUUGUAACAAGUAGAUCGUAUUUUAGUUCUGACCAAUUCACCAUACCUUCCAUGGUCAAAAGGGGAAAAGAAAACAGCAAAGGAUUUAGCCAUUAUAGAACAAUUAUAAUGAAUUGAGGGACAAGAAUCUGGGAUCCAAAAAUGGCAAGUUUUCUAUAUAUGUCACCCCGAGUUUUGAGUUGAAUUUGGACUUAGAUUCACUAACAGAACCAUCUCUUGCUGCCCUAAACUGGCAACUGGGCUACCAAGAACCAUAUCAUAACUGCCUCAAUUUUCUAGUAUGAUUCUCUCUGUUGGUGUUCACACAGCCAUGCAGCAGCAAGACAAGAGAACCAUCAGUAGCAGAACUGACCGAAUGAACAAAUAAAUAAAUAAAUAAACAAUUCCAAUUUCUCAUUGAUGCCUCAUUUAUGAGCUGGCUUUCAAAAUAAGUGAAAACGGGUUUUCACCAAACAAUGUCCACAACUACUUGCAAUUUGAGGCUCAGAUCUGGGCUAUUAAUGGGGAAAGAGAAAGAGACCACGCCAUGGCUGCAAAUAUCACAUAGCAACAGCGGUUCACCAAGCCAAGAUACGGGUCUGAUUGUCUUUAUCCUGAAGCCAGAUGAGCAAAUAUCAUACUGCCACUUUGAGAAAAUGGCUGCAUAAUUUUCAAGAAAUUAGGAUACUUUGGAUUAAGCCUUAUUAACCAGAUUGAGGUCCAAGUAUUACUACUACUAGCACUGUUAAUGCUUUGCUUUAAACUGAAGGCUCAGAUGUGUAUCUGGGGAAUUGAGUUUUCUGGCACCUGCAAUGGCUGCAACUCACAGAUAUUCAAGUUACCAUGCCAAGAUACAGGCAACAAAAAUCUAAUGCACUAUUAUAUUUAGCUCAGCAGAGUGCAGACGUCAUCAUCACAGCCCAAUUGUUUCCCUUUCCGAGUCCAUUGCUUUGGAACACAGCCAGUGAGGACAAAGCUAAGAUGCUUGAAUUAAUAAGCACAAAUCCACAUGUACACGUACAGAAAUAUACAUAAAAAAGGGUUGUCUGGUUUAGAGCAUAAAGAAAAUCAUUGGCAUGUUGAAGAUGGUAAUUCCCAUUGAGAAUCACUUCCCCAACGCCUCAAUCUGAGUUGAAACGGUUGUGUUGUGGUGGUGUAGUUGGUUAUCACGUCUAACACAUAAAACUGAAGAAUACCAAUUCCAGAGUAACUUUCCAUUGAAGACUAUCAACGGUCGCAUAAAGAGGGUGUUAUUGAUCUCUCUCCGUCAAAGAAGGUCUCGUGUUCGAUUCCCAGCCCCAGGUUGUUAGGAAGGAAUUUGGAAAAUGAGGCUCAGAUCUCAAUUUUCUAUUGGGUUAAAGAGAAGGCGACCAUGCCAUGGAUGCAAAAUAACCGAUUGCAUGUGAAAGAGAAGCCUCAAAUCACAGCCCUUGCUGGUGUUUGCCAAGCCUGAUACAGGUCAGGAUGUCUCUAUGCCCAAAUGGAAAUGAGGACGGAAUUUAAAGUGGCCUCAAAAAAGACCAUGUUUGUAAAUGCCGAUAAACAAUUAUCAUCACGGCCUCUUUCAGAAAAUGUUUACUCUUCCAUAGAUUUCAAGAAAUUGUAAAAAUUUUGGACUAAAGAAUCCAAUAACGCCUGACGGCGAAGGCGCCAGAUAUUUGCUUUCUUGGGUUUCUUCGAGCAAAGGAAGAAUAAGAGGGUUGUUAGUUUUGUUAAUUGAGAAAUCAUAGGCCAAACAGAGGGAACACCGCCCUCCUAGAAGUCCCUCUUACCCCUGUUGGCCUCAUUUUCCUUCUGGGCUCAAUCUCCAUUGUUACUUUUGUCGAGGAAAAAGCUUGUAGCUAUACAAUGUACUAAUAUCUAGAUUCUCUUUUAGCCCGUCUGGCAGAAAUGUACCAUGCUAUUGUUUUGUGGCUAUUUCGCUCGGAUUCUUCAAAAACAUCGAAGUGUGCGUGUCGGAUACUCCAAAAAUAGUGUAUUUUUGGAGAAUCCAACAUGAGUGCGGCGACAUUUUUGGAGAGUCCGAGCAACAUAAGUUUGUGGUGACAUGCAACAAUUGAGAUGAUUUUUUAUACUUCUCAGGUAAUAAAAUAUGAUGGAUAUCUUUUACUUUAAUAUAUAAAGAUAAGUUGUAUAUAUAAACCUCACUUACAGUGAAUUUCUGCAAUUACACUUGCCGGUCACCAAAUAGCCACGUGGAAACCUACAGUAGAAUUAAGCACGAACUAUAUGAUACAAGCUGCAAUUACUGCUGUAAAUAUUUUUAACGAAAGAUCUAUUAGAUAAAUUAAAUAUUUUGACAACACAUUUGUAAUGAAACUUUGAGCAAUGACAUGAUUGAACAUAGACCAGAAAGGAAGCAAGCAAUCAUCACAACCCCUUUACAACAUCAUCAGCAACAGCAGCACAAAGAGACAGUGAAAGAGUAAAGGGUGUCUUUGGAUGAAGCUCGCAAUUUGUUUUUCUUUUUUCUUUCUUGUUUAUUUUAAAGGGCUAGUGGUUUUUUUGGUAAUCAAUGGUGAAAUCACUGGCAAAGCAGAGAUGGGCAACCAUCCUUUACAGAAAAUCCAAGUUUCUCCGACGGCUCAUUAUUCAGCGCAAACCCGUAACGGGUUCUCCGACCCGAAUGCGUUAUUGAAGGCUCAGAUUUGCUGAAUUCGAACAAAGCAAAAGAGAAGAGCGCCACCGCCAUGGCUGCAGACACCAGUUUGCUAUUCAAAACCGAACUGGAUCGCCCUGCCAAGAUACGGGUCAGAUCUUCUCUAAAUGCCAUGAUUGAACAUAGCCCAGAAAGGAAGCAAGCAAUCAUCACAGCCAUUUACAGCAAUAGUAACAGCAGCAGCACAAUGAGACAGAGGAAGAGCAAGAAGAAUAUAGAGGGGGUGUUUGGAAUUUGGAUGAAGUUUUUUCAAUUUGCUUUCUUUUUGUUUAUUUGAAAGGGUUGUUGGGUUUUUUGGUCCAUUAAUGGAGAAGUCACUGGCACAGCAGAGAUGGGCAACCACCCUUCACAGAAAAUCCCAAUUUCUCCAACGCCUCAUUCUUCAGAGCUGAAAUUUCAAAGCAAACCAAAAAUGGAUUUUCCUACCCGAAUGGGUUAUUGAGGGCUCAGAUUUGCUGUAUUUGAACAAAGCAAAAGAGAAGAGCGACACCACCAUGGCUGCAGACACCAGUUUUCUAUUCAAAGCCCUAACCAGGUUGCCCUGCCAAGAUACGGGUCGGAUAUUUUCUCAAUUGCCAUGGUUGAACAUAGCCCAGAAACUAAGCAAUCAAUCAUCAUAGCCCCUUCUAAACAUUAGCAACACAAAGAGAGGAGAAAGAGGAAGAGGAGUAUAGGACUAUAGGGGUGUGUUCGGUAUGAAGUUUUUAUUGUUGUUGUUGUUUAUUUCAAAGGGCUGUUGGUUUUUUUGGUCCAUUAAUGGAGAAAUCACUGGCAACGCAGAGAUGGGCAACCACCCUUUACAGAAAUCCCAUUCUCCGACGCCUCAUUCUUCUGAGCAGAAAUUUCAUUGGAAAUCCGUAAUGGAUUUUCCUACCCGAAUGGGUUAUUGAGGGGUAAGGCUGCAUAGACACCAUCUUCCCCGACCCCACUUCCGGAUAUGUUGUUGUAGUAAUGGGUUAUUGAGGGCUCAGAUUUGCUGUAUUUGAACAAGAGAAGAGUGACAACGCCAUGGCUGCAGACACCAGUUUGCUCUUCAAAGCCAUAACCAGGUCACCCUGCCAAGAUACGGGUCAGAUAUUUUCUCAAUUGCUAUGAUUGAACAUAACCCAGAAAGGAAGCAAUCAAUCAUCAUUGCCCCUUUACAACAUUAGCAGCACAAAGAGAGGAGAAAGAGGAAGAGCAAGAAGAGUAUAGGGGUGUGUUUGGUAUGAAGGUUUUUUGUUUUUUCUUGUAUAUUUCGAAGGGCUGUUGGUUUUUAUGGUCCAUUAACGGAGAAAUCACUGGCAUAGCAGAGAGGGGCAACCACCCUUUCAGAAAGUCCCAAUUUCUCUGAUGCCUCAUUCUUCUUCCUUUCUAGGCUAUGCUCAACUUGUAGCUUUUGUUUGCCAAGAACAAUAUCAUCACUGCCUCAAUUUCACCUUUUUCUAGUAUGAUUCUCGCUGUUUAGGUGUUCAUGCAGCCAUGCAGCAGCAAAAAAUCGUGGGCUUACUAGCAAAACUGAAUGAAUGAAUAAUAAAUAAAUAGUUUGCGUUUCUCAUGAUGCCUCAUUGAGCUGGCUUUCAAAAUAAGUGAAAUGGAUUUCGUUUCCACCAAACAAAUGUCCAGGACUACUUGCAAAUUUGAGGCUCAGAUCUGACCUAUCAAUGGGGAACAGAGAAAGAGACCACGCUGCAGCUGCAAAAGUACCGGUUGCAUGUGAAAGAGAAGCCUUAAAUCACAUAGCAACUGGGGUUUGCCAAGGCAAGAUACGGGUCUGAUUGUCUUUAUUCCCAAAGCCCAGAUAAGCAAAUAUUAUCACUGCCACUUUGAGAAAAUGGUUGCAUAAUUUUCAAGAUAUUAGGAUACUUAGAAAUUAGAAUUAAGCUCAUAAAUCAGACUGAGGGUCCAAGUACUACUAUUACUAUGUUAAUGCUUUGCUCUCAACUGGAGGCUCAGAUUUGUAUCUGGAGCACUGAAAUUUCUGGAAACCUGUCAUGCCUGCAAACAAAUCACAGAAAUUCAAGUUGUCAUGCCAAGAUACGGUUACAAAAAUCUAAUGCCUGUUGUUAAUUAGCUCAGCCCUGUUAUUUCCCCUUUUUGAGUUCAUUGCUUUGGAACAGCCAGUUCAGACAAAUUACGACAACUGAAACAUACAAAUCUAAAUAUACUUAUAUGCAGAAACAUUACAAAAAAGGUUGCCUGGUUUAGAGUAAAAAGAAAGCACCUGCAUGUCGAAGAUGGUCAUCCACUCUGAGAAUCAUCUGAUCCCCCAAAGCCUCAUCCAUUGAGCAGAAACGACGUGGUGGUAGUUGGUUAUCACGUCAGUCUAACACAUAAAACUGAAGAAUCCCAAAUCCAGAGAGCAACCUUCCAUUGAAGACUAAUCAAUGGUUGCAUUAAAGGGAUGUUGUUAUCUCCUGUGAAAAGAAUUCCACAGACUUGCAACAUCAAGAGAAGGGAAAAUCCAACUUCUCUUUGAAACAAGGCAAAAUGAGUUUCCAUUAAAGAAGGUUGCGUGUUCGAUUCCCCAGCAGGUCGUCAAAAAGAAAUUUAGAAAAUGAGGCUCAGAUCUCAGUUUCUCAGUUUCUGAUGGGGCAACCAAGCCAUGGCUGCAAUAGAACCAAUUGCAUGUGAAGAGAAACCUCAAAUCACAGACCAUUCCGGUGUUUGCCAAGCCAAGAUACGGGCGGGAUGCCCCAAUGCUCGGAUGGAAAUGAGGACAAAUUUAAAUAGCGACCUUAGAAAAGGUCGCAAAUGGCCCCAUGAACAAGUAUCAUCACUGCCUCUUUCAGGAAAUGGCAUAAAUGAGCCUUUUCUCAAAGCUCGGUGGCAUAUUUGAGCCUUUUCCUAUUAAAAAAAUGAUUUAAUAAAUGACAUGGCUGAAUCAUAAUUGACCACAUGUAAUAAAUGGUUUUGCAAAACCGAAACUUUUUUCAAUUAACAAAUAAUGGCAUGGAUGAGCCUUUUCUCAAACGGAAAUGGUAUAGAUGAGCCAAACUUUUAAUGGAUGGCAUAAAUGAGCCUUUUCUCAAAGUUCAAUGGCAUAUUUGAUCCUUCUCCCUUUUUUAAAAAGAGAAAGCUACCACGCCAUGGCUGCAAAAUCACCGGUUGCAUGCAAAAAAGAGAGCCUCAAUUGCAUGCCAUCCUGGGAUUUGCCAGGCCAGGAUAUGGAUUGGAUCAUCUUCAGAGCCCGAAUUUGUUAACCCAUAGAGUGACAUUAUAAUCAUCAUUGAGAUAUAUGUCACCUGAAAAAUUCACAACUUUUCUCCUCAUAGAAUACAAUGGUAACUAAUUGUUGAUUUCAUCAUGAAAAAUAUUUCUACCAUACCAAAGACACAUUAAGAGUAAAACUUAGGCUUGGAUCUGUCGAUAAGACAAGAGAAUGAAGACAACCUCAUGGCUGCAAACACCGGUUGCAUGACACAAAAUCACAAGUUUUCCGGAUUGCCUCACCAAGAUUCGAUCACUCUAUUUUCUUUGCCCUAUUGAGUUGCUCAAAAAAAGAAACGAAAAAAAUUAUCAACAUAGCCUUCAAUACUCAACAAUCCCUAAUAAUAGUUUCCCAAUUGAUAGAGAAAGUGAAGCUCAGAUCUGUGUUAAGCUCGGACAACAAGAGAAUCCAACAACAUCAUGGCUGCAACAACCACCAGAAAGUCUGGGAGCAUGCCCCGCAAAGAUACGGGCCAGAUGGUCUCAAAUACCUGAUUAUUCAGCUCAGAAGGAAAUUAAAAAUUGACAAAAUCAUCACUGCCUCUUUCAAGCCACCGGUUAUACUCAACCACACAGCUUCCAACACCAGCACUCAAUGCUCCGGCAGAAGCAUUAGAGAAAAGAGAUGGCAUAGCAUGAAAGGGUAUAGAAACCAUUUGUAAUGAUAUGUAAACAACCAUCCAAACAAACUGUUAAUAUUACUCCCUUCAUUAAAAUUGAUAAAAGGGUUGUUGGGGACCUGGGGUUCUUACAGUAAUGGAGAAAUCAUUGUCUGAUGCAGAGAGAGGCAACCACCCUUUCAACGAAAAAUCCCUAAACUCUCUGUAGCCUCGUUCUUUCGCUUUGGAGCUUUUGUUUUGUUCAUUUAACUAAACCGAUGGAGAAAGUGAGGCUCAGAUCUUUGAUAAGCUCGGGCAACAAGAGAGUCCAACAACGCCAUGGCUGCAAAAACCAGCAGAAAAUCUGGGAGCAUGCCUGCCAAGAUACGGGUAGGAUAACCUCAAAUGCCCUAUUAUCAGCUCAGAAGGGAAUAAAAAUCUGACAAAAGUCAUCAUUGCCUCUUUAAAGCCACCGAUUAUACUCACCAGCAUCAGUUCCACCAGCAACAUCCAAUGCACCGGCGGAAGCAUUGAAAAAAGAAGAAAAAAAAAGAGUUGAAGGGCAUAGAAACCCUUUGAAACUAUAUGUAACAACAAUCCAAACGAGCAUUUAAUUAAAUACUCCCUCCAUUUGAAAUUGAUAAAAGGGCCAUCACGCCCGAAAAAACAAUACACACAAACAUAGGUGAACGACCGUAUAUAUGACCUAAAUCCUCUCUGCUUCUGCUUUUUCGAGAGCUGUUGGUUGUUUGAAAAUGGAGGACAAUCAAUGGCGCAACAGAGAGGGGCAACCACCCUUCAAAGAAAAAUCCAAAUACUCUCUGUUUUGCCUCAUUUUUAUUUUUUCACCUUCGAGUUUCCCAUCUCUCCAAUGCCUCACUCUUCAGAGAUAAACCCGUAAUGGGUUUUUCCACCUGAGAAGACUCAACACCGAAAACCAUGAAAUGGGUUAUUGAGGGCUCAAAUUUGCUGUAUUUGAACAAAGCAAAAGAGAACAGCGACGACGUCAUGGCUGCAGACACCGGUUUGCUAUUCAAAGCUGUACUGAGUUGCCCUACCAAGAUACGGGUCAGAUAUUCUCUAGAUGCCAUGAUUGAACAUAGCCUAGAAAGGAAGGAAGCAAUCAUCACAGCCCCUUUACAACAUCAGCAGCACAAAGAGACAGAGGACGAGCAAGAAGAGUAUAGGGGUUUGUUCGAAUGAGGUUUUUUCAAUUGUUUUCUUCUUCUUUUUCUUUUUGUUUAUUUCAAAGGGCUGUUGGUUUUUUUGGUUAUCAAUGACGAAAGCACUGGCAAAGCAGAGAUGGGCAACCACCCUUACACAAAAUCCCAAUUUCUCUGAUGCCUCAUUCUUCAGAGCUGAAAUUUCAGAGCAAACCCGUAAUAGGUUUUUCGUCCCAAAUGGGUUAUUGAAGGCUUAGAUUUGUUGUAUUUGAAUAAAGCAAAAGAGAAGAUCGACGCUGCCAUGGCUGCAGACAUCAGUUUGCUAUUCAAAACCGUAACAUGGUCGCCCUGCCAAGAUACGGGUCGGAGAUUUUCUCAAUUGCCAUGAUUGAACAUAGCCUAGAAAGGUGGAAAGCAUAUGCCAGCCACCCCCAUCCAAAUGAUUUUAAAUAAAUACUCUCUCCGGCUAGAAAGGUGGAAAGCAUAUGCCAGCCACCCCCAUCCAAAUGAUAGAAAAUAAAUACUCUCUCCGGUUCAACUUGUUUGUCUUCCCUUUUUGGUUUGUUCCAAAAAGAAUGUCUCUUUACUUUUUUGGCAACACUUAAUUCUAACUUUCCACAUGACAUCUUUAAAACCACAAUAUUAAAGGGCACCUUAAGUUUAAGAUAUCCGGGUUUCCCCGCUAAGAUACGGAUCCAAUUGCUCUCCCGCACUAUUGAUUUUCUCAAAGAAAGAAGAAAAUCGACAUCACAGCCUCAGAAUUUUCGCAACAAUUAUUAUUAUUAUAACUGGGUGUGAGAAUUUGGAGAGAACAAGCAAAGACUUAAGGGUCAUUUGGUCGCUGUUUAGCUGCAACAAGAGCUGUUGAAUUUUUCUUUUUUCACAGCAACACUGAAAUCACAGGUAUUGCAGAGAGGAGUGACAGCCCUUUGAACUUCCUCUCUGCUCUCUGCAACCCUCAUUCUUCGUCUCUGAACUUUUACUUUUCUAGGCUAAGCUUUUUACCUUUUAUGGGAAAUUCUCAUAUGUGUUUCGACCUGCGAAUUUCCCAACUGCAACAACAACAACCCAGUAUAAUUUGACCUCCACCUUGUGGAGGUCAAGAAGCGAUUUUCAAUAGACCCUAAGCAAAUCAAACAUUGAGGCUCAGAUUUGUAAUACUGACGAUCCGGCAAGAUACACUGGAAUCAUCGCCAUGCCUGCAAGCACCGGUUGCAGGGUAACCUGUCAUCUGGAUUGCCACGCCAAGAUACAGGUACAAUCUCUUUCCUGCACUAUCGAUUUGCUCAGAGGAAGAAGAAAAUCAUCAUCAUAGCCUCGGAAUUUUCGCCAAUUAUUAUUAUUAUGACUACUAUUGAGUCUCACUUUGGGGUUGAGAGUUUCGAGAGAACAAGCAAAGAUUAAGGGGUCGUUUGGUAGUUGUUUAACUGAAAAGGGCUGUUGAAUUCAUGUUUUUUCAUAGCAAAAAUUGUAAUCACAGGUAUUGCAGAGCGGAGAAACAGCCCUUUGAAAUGUUCCCCUCUACUCUCUGCAACCCUCAUUCUUCGUCUCUAAGCUAAGCUUUUUUUCCUUGAACGGAGAAAUUCUCAUGAGUUCUUCGACCUGCGAAUUUCGCAGCUGAAACAACGACGACAACCCAGCAUAAUCUAACUCCUACUUUGUGGAGGUAACAAGAUUGUUUCCGAUACUCUAUCAGCAAAUGAAACAUUGAGGCUCAGAUUUGUUAUACUUACAACAUGGCAAGAGAGACUGGAAUCACCGCCAGGGCAGCAAGCACCGAUUGCAAGGUAACCUGAAAUCCAGGUUGCCCCCGCCAAGAUAUGGGUCCGAUUUCUUUCCUGCGCUAUCGAUUUGCUCAGGGAAAGAAGAAAAUCAUCAUCAUAGCCUCAGAAUUUUUGCAACAAUUAUUAUUAUUAUCAUUACUACUACUAUUGAUUCUCACUUUGGGGUUGAGAAUUUCGAGAGAACAAGCAAAGAUUUAGGGGUCAUUUGGUAGUUGUUCAACUGAAAAGGGCUGUUGAAUUUAUAUUUUUUCACAGCAAAAAUUGAAAUCACAGGUAUUGCAAAGAGGAGCAACAGCCCUUUGAAGUGUUCCCCUCUGCUCUCUGCAAUCCUCAUUAUUUGUCUCUGAGCUAAGCUUUUUUCCUUUAACGGACAAACUCGCAGACGCAACAACAAUAACAACAACAACAAAACCCAGUGUAAUCUCACUCCAAAGAUUGUUUCAGACACACUUUCAGCAAAUGAAACAAUGAGGCUCAGAUCUGUAGUACUUACAACACGGCAAGAGAGACUGGAAUCACCGCCAUGGCUGCAAGCACCAGUUCUGAUAUACUUCCAUCCGGGUUGCCUCGCCAAGAUACGGGUCCAAUUGCUCUCCCGCAUUGUCCAUUUGCUCAGAGAAAGAAGAAAAUCAUCAUCACAGCCUCAUAAUUUUCCCAUCAAUUAUUACUACUACUACUACUAUUGAUUAUCCCUUUGGAUUUGAGAAAUUGGAGAGAACAAGCAUAUUGCUGUUUAACAGCAAAAGGGCUAGUAAAGAUUCUUUUUUUCACAGCAAAAAUGAAAUCACAGGUAUUGCAGAGAGGAGCAACAUUCCCUUCAGAACUUUUUGCUUUGUUUCUCAACUCAAACAUUUUCCUACAUACGGAACACACCCUAAAUAUAACAAAAAAAAAAGCCAAGCUGAAUAGAGAAAAAUCGAGGCUCAGAUUUGUGUUAAGCUCGGGAAACAAGAGAGUCCAACAACGCCAUGGCUGCAAAAACCACCAGAAAAUCUGGGAGCAUGCCCCGCCAAGAUACAGUUUGGAUAACCUCAAAUGCCCAAUUAAUCAGAGCUCAGAAAGGAAUAAACAUUGGCAAAAAUCAUCAUUGCCUUUUUUAAGCCAUCCGAUUAUACUCAGCACCAUCGCUUCCACCAGCAACAAUCAAUGCUCCGGCAGAAGCAUUAGAGAAAAGAGAAUGCACUGUAUGGUCACAGCAUGGAAGUAUAGGUUAGAUUGAUAUGGUAUAUAUAUAUAUGUGUGUGUGUGUGUGUGUGUGUGUCUAAUUAGGUAGUUUUUCCUAAAAUUUAUAAAACGGUUGUU
Molecule: long non-coding RNA, 25762 nt
Filed under: Solanum tuberosum (potato)
Lineage: Eukaryota; Viridiplantae; Streptophyta; Magnoliopsida; Solanales; Solanaceae
Description: long non-coding RNA (STUB_LNC006916)
Source: RNAcentral